AUAUGAUGCCAAACAGAGUGUUAUCACCAGACUUGAAAAACCUCCAUUCUCUCCCAUCCUUCUCCCUAAACUAGGGUUUCGCAUAACCAUUAUUCUCAAUUUGAUUUCGAAUCUCGAAGCCCUCCAUUGUCAACAUGGACGCGCAGAGAGCUUUGUUAGACGAACUCAUGGGUGCAGCUCGUAAUCUCACUGAAGAAGAGAGAAGGGGUUACAAGGAAAUUACAUGGGACGAUAAGGAGGUUUGUGGAUCCUAUAUGAUUCGAUUUUGCCCUCAUGAUCUGUUCGUGAACACACGGAGUGAUCUAGGAGCAUGCCCAAAAAUUCAUGAUGACAAGUUGAAAGAAAGUUUUGAGAAGUCCCCAAGACACAACUCUUACGUGCCCAGGUUUGAAGCAGAACUUUCUCAUUUUUGUGAGAAGUUGAUUAUGGACUUAGACAGAAGAGUUAGGCGUGGGCGAGAACGCCUCGCUCAAGAGGUGGAAGUUUCCCCCCCUGCUCCAAUCUCUGCGGAAAUAUCUGAGCAGCUGUCUGUGCUGGAGGAGAAAAUAAAGAACCUGCUGGAGCAAGUGGAGUCCCUUGGUGAAGCUGGGAAAGUUGAUGAAGCUGAAGCACUCAUGAGGAAGGUGGAGAUGCUUAAUGCUGAAAAGACAACCUUGACUCAACAGCACCAGAAUGACAAAGUAUCAAUGCUUGCACAGGAGAAAAAGAUGGCUCUGUGUGAGAUAUGUGGUUCUUUUCUAAUAGCAAAUGAUGCUGCAGAGAGGACUCAAUCUCACAUAACUGGCAAGCAGCAUAUUGGUUAUGGCAUGGUUAGGGAUUUCCUCGCCGAGUACAAGGCGGCAAAGGAGAAGGCAAAGGAAGAGGAAAGAUUAGCAAGGGAGAAAGAAGCAGAGGAACGAAGGAAGCAAAGGGAGAAGGAAUAUGAGAGUAAACGUAGAAGAAGUGGUUCAGCAGAUCGGGAGAGAGAUCGUAAUCGCGAUCAAGACAGAGAGCGGGACAGAUACCGGGAACGAGACCGCAGCCAUGAUAGGUCUUAUGAGAGGAAUGGUAGAGGCAGCAGAGAUGGAGGGAGACGCUUGGAUUCAAAGUACGGCAAUUUCAGGAAUGGUAGAGAUAGAGGCAGGGACAGAUACAGGGAUCAGGAUGUAUAUGCGGAGCGUGAUAGAAGCAGGUAGCCUUCCCCUGUAAGGCAUGGUCACACGAGAUCUCUCAGAAGUCUAGUUUGCCCAUAUUAGUGGAUUGCUUAGAUAGAUAGAUGGAACUCAUGAGCUUUAUUGAGACUUUACCAUCUCCCUAUCAUCAAUAUAAUUAGAAGAGAAAGGAUUGAGGUAGGUAUAACUUAUCAUUGUCAUUCUUCUGAUGUUAAAUAUUAUUUUCAGAAAUUUUGCCCCCCUUUCUGGGUCAUUGUGGGCUACCUUAUUCAAAUAGUCAAAAGGACAGAUUUGAUGAGUAUGAUGAUCUUGCUGCUCAAGGGGAACAUGAUUUUUUCUUAACCAUAAGGUAACCGUAAAGUCCCAAUUUUGUCAUGGUUGCACUCAUGGAUUAAUAUUUAUAAUUAUUGUGGAUUUAUUAUUAUUAUUUUUUGAUCUUUCGGUAAACUUUAAGCAAAUUCUUGCUUGCAGUUGCUGAGUCUUUGGGAUCUUUGUAAGCUUCAUGAAUAUGGUUCCUAGUAGGUUAUCUUCUUCGCCCCCCCUUUUUUUUUUUUUAAUAACGACGACAAGUUGGGAAUCGUUUCCAUGCUCUUACUUUCCAGCCACCCCAACCCUUUUUGGUGUGGUAUAGUUAAACGAGUAUAAUUUUAUAUGCACAAUGUACAUGAAUGAGCGAGCUGUGAACAACAGAAAAAGGAGGGGGAUAGAAGAUUUACUAAUUUGCAACCAUUACAAUCAUAUAUAUCCUUUAAUGAAAAAGGUACUUGUUAUACAUAAUCUGGGGUUGUUUUACAAACUUUAGAAAUGAGAAUUAGGCAAUGGAUCCAUCUUUCUUUAGUACAGAUAACUGUUUAGUGUGUUCCGUGUUUUUAUGUGGCUUCUCUCCUAUAUUAGAUACAAGUUUUCUUCAGCAGAAGUCUUGCUUCCACCUGCCUGAGAAAAUCUACCAGUGGACCGUGAUCUUCGUCUCUCGGGAAUAAAAAUAGAAUGCAAUCCCUGAGGUAACUAAAACUUAAAUACGCAGGAUAGCAAAUUUCUGUGUCUAGUUUGCAGGGACACUAUGGUGAACCUUCUCGUUGAGUUUGAUUUGCUGAUGAGUAUGAAGAUCUUUUUUCGUGUUAUUUGGAAGGGAGUCUCGUGCAGGGAAUACAUUCCAUAGUAUUUUUCGUGCUUCCGUGGUUCAAGUUGGACGGGCAGUCCUUUUUUGUAUGGUAACUGAAAUUCUAUUCGGAUCUCUACUACUUUUAGGUACUUGGGUAUGUUACAUUGUAAUUUAUUUCAGAGAUAUAUAAUAAGAACCUCCAAAAAGUUUUGUGA
RNA transcript from Cornus florida, 2468 nucleotides. RefSeq lists it as uncharacterized. The transcript has 8 exons. The record is from RefSeq and is a predicted model, not a curated record. NCBI's taxonomy places the organism in Eukaryota, Viridiplantae, Streptophyta, Magnoliopsida, Cornales, Cornaceae.